AGGCUUGCAAAUGUAUCAAUAAAUGGUUGCAAUGUACUGUAGUUAAGGCAAUGAUGUACUUCAAAUUUAGAUUACUAGAGAAAAAGAUAUCAUGAAGAUGACCAACGAUCACUUUGUGAAAAUUUUCUUUUAACUUCCAAUUUG
Long non-coding RNA from Daphnia pulicaria, 144 nucleotides. RefSeq lists it as uncharacterized. The transcript has 3 exons. The record is from RefSeq and is a predicted model, not a curated record. Lineage: Eukaryota; Metazoa; Arthropoda; Branchiopoda; Diplostraca; Daphniidae.